UACAUUCAUAUCAAUAUACACAUAUAAAUAAAAUAUCCUUUCAAUUAUAGUACACGUAUGUCUCAUCAGCUACAAUAGAUAUCCACGUAUGUCUCAUCAGCAACAGUAGACAUCCACGUUUGUCUCAAAUACACUUAAACUUAUAGUAGUCGAUUAGCACAGGGAAAUGAAGAUGAUACUUCUACCCCACUUUGUAUUUAACUAAACGUUUGUCCCCUUUCUCUCUGGUUUCAUUUCUAAAGUGUCGAGGAUACCUCUACUCCACGGUUAAACGACAUACUUUUUCGUAUCAGACCUCCUUAUGGUUAACAUCGUGAUGUAAUAAUAUACGUGACUUGUGGCUCGUCUUGAGAUAACUUCUUACUUCUACGUACGAGAAUCGAAUAAAGGAACCUUAUUACUACAUGCUACGAAGGUAAACUAAAACUAAACCACAUUUGUAUAUCUAUGUUUAGUUAUGCAAUUAUCGUUUAGGUAUACGGUACCUUAUCUUAAAUACAAACAUCUACGAGAUACAAUCCUCGAGGAAGAUUAAUUUUUCAACAACUCAUUUCGGUUGUCUACUCAUUGAAGAUCUAAUAUUAAAAAAAUAAGAUCCAAUUUAGAUUGUUCUCUGUAGUGGUUGGUUUUUGGAUUGUUGAGUAGUUGAAUCAAUAUUACGAUAGGAUUGACAAUUCUCUGUAUUAUUGAUUUCUUCUAUGUUUAAGAGUGACCCUACUCGAGAUGUUUGUCGACCAUGUACUGUUACAUACACACGACCUUACUCUUUGAGUGUGUGACGCUUUCCAUGCUGGAGACUACGAUACCUGAGACUACAAUAUCUUCGAUACUAAACACUACGAUUAGAACGUACAAAUCUGGACGAUACUAGCUUAAACGAGUUUAAUAAGACACCACAUAAUUUAUUGUACGGGAAAACAUCAAACAUAAACGACUGUAUAUAUUUUAAAGUAAACCCGGUAAGCAAUGUCAUGAAGAUAAUACACAAGAACUCGCUGCUAAUUAUGUAAUUAUGGCUCCCUCAGGAGAUAGGUCACUAAAACAGCAUGCAUUAUAAUAGAAUGUGUUCAAUGAUAGUUACCAUAUUAAACUAGUCACAACAUAAGUCAAUCUUUCCUUAAAGAAAAGUCACUGAUGGGAAGGUUUAAAACAUGGUUAUUAUCAACAGAAAACAUUUCUAUAAAGAGAUUUAUAAAAUGAAGUACUAGUCACCAGAUCGACCGUGUUAAGAGAUCAUAUAACAUAUUUAGUAAAAUUGAAAAGUUUCACUGGCCUAAGAUAUAUCUAACAACCAAUAACACACGAUAUCAACAGAAUCAUCACGAGCGUGAGUAAUUACCUACUAAAAAAAUGUCUGGAGAGGAAGUUAUGAAAAAAAUUAUACCACUACUUUCAGGCUUCUUGUUAAGAAUACGGGUACCCGUGACUCAUUACUCAUUAAGUUCGAGCCCAGAACCAUCACCCUAUUUACCUUUUAGUAUAGCUAAUUAUUGAUUUAUGUUUUGAUUUAAACGUCCAACCGGCCGCUCGCGACCGUGGUUGGUCUCCUACGUAACCGCGUGUCUCUUCACGGUCAAGUACGGCUACUCGCUACUAACAGUUACCUCUAAUGUACACCGACGCCUUCGUAUUUUUCGUACCACUAUUCUUUCCUAACUAGUCCAAACAUAACAGACUGCGUAAACACGUUCUUGGUUCAUUAACGAUGUCAUGGUCAAUCCAACGAGACCCUCCUGAAGAAAGACGGUAUUCCUAAUUUCGUGGAACUAACUAAGUACCUCCUGCGUGGUUUGUUCCUAAUAAAUGAUGACCUAGAUGGCCGGUCUUUUUGUCUCGUGUGCGGGUACUAACGGG
Molecule: ribosomal RNA, 1854 nt
Filed under: Triticum aestivum (bread wheat)
Lineage: Eukaryota; Viridiplantae; Streptophyta; Magnoliopsida; Poales; Poaceae
Description: partial small subunit ribosomal RNA
Source: RNAcentral